AGACAGAAUCCGGGUGGGGAGGUCGGUCCUGCGGCUGCAGCUCUGAAGGGUCCCCGCUGUCAGCUUGGGAUGGCGCUGCGGGGUCAGCCCCGAGGGCACGUUCAGGGCCUUGGGACGCAGGAGCUGCUGUCUGGGAGCCCCCAAGCCCCCAUCCUGCGCACGUGGUGAGGCCCUUAAGAGUGCGACUCUCCCCCGAGGGCGAAGAGAAUCUGCAGCUCUGAGCCACGGGGCAGCUCUGGGUCUGAGGAUUUCUGGGGCCACUGGGCGGAACAAAGACUGGCGGGGACAGAGGAGGCUAGGGCAUCCCGAGCCCGAGUUAGGGGAACUCCCUCCAGAACAGGUGGAGGAGGAGCCUGGGUCUUGGUCCCAAGGAUUUAGGGGUGGCAGGGACAGCCCUGGGGACUGCGGAGUCUGAUGGAGGAGGCGGGAGGCGAGUGGGAGUCUCACACCUGAGAGGUCGGUUGAGGCUCACGGGAUCAGGUACAGAACUGGCCAAAGAGAACACAGGAAAGUCAUUUUGGAGACGUCCAGCCGGAAGUUCGAAGGGCAGUUUGGGGUGGGGAGCCUUUCAGAGGGGUUGGAGGUCUGCCGAGGCUGCGCAGGAAGGAGAUUGGAAGGGGGCUUUUGAGCCUCCAGUGAGUCUGUGGGCUCUUGUCUGGCUGGGGCCAGGCCAGGCCCUGGAAGCCUCACGGGGAAGGGGGGGGUCAUCUUAGGAGGGGCAGCUUCUCCGUGAUGAGAAUGGGGGAGACCGGGGUGGGCUCUCAGGGUCAGCCCCAGGGAGAAAUCGUGUUGGAGAGAAUGACCUGUGUUUUCGCUUGUGGGUCUGCAGGUGUGUGUGUGUGCCCUGCGUGUGUGCCCACGCGCGUGUGUAUUUGCUGGUGGGCCUGAGGUUUUUUGUUUUUUUUUUUUGUUUUUUUUUUCCAAGUAGGCCUGUGGGCUAAAAGGUGUCUCAAAGGUUUUGGAAGAAUGACAUGGAGAAUCGGAGGGUGCAGGAGUCUCCGAGGGGGUCACUGCCUUCCUGCAGGGUCCCUGCAGGUCUGUGGUCCUGUGGGACCAGCCCCCGUUCCCCAGCCACACUUGAAACAGGCAACUUGCCUCAGCUGCUCGGGAGCCUGAAGCUCUGUGACCUGGGGAUCUUCUUCUUCCAAAAUUGUCUUCCCUGGCAGACCUGGCCCAGAGCCAGGGCCAGGAAUGGUGGGGGAGGGACACUGGGGGAGCUCAGGGGUCAGAGGCCGGCUUGGAAGGUCCAGUGAAGCAGGGAAGGUCGGUGUGGGAGACGAGGUGGGGGACGAGGCCUCCUGAUGCUCCACCAAUAAUAAUAAAAUCAGAAUCGACAUAUAAAAGGUCUGACUCUGUGUCAGACCAUGUUUUAGGUCCUUGACCUGAACUUCAUCUUAUCUAAUCCUCAUGUUUAAUCAUUUAUUGCCUCCUUCUUAUGGUGGGGAAAUCCGACAGCUCAAGAAGUUAAGUAACCCCUGAAUUGGAGGUUGCAGGUAAAAUACAGGAUGCUUACUUAAAUGUGAAUUUUAGAUAAACCGUGAAUUACCUGUUAGUGUAAGUGUAUCCAAAACAUUUCAUGCGACCUGCCUAUACUUAAACGCAAUUUGCUCAAAUAAAUAAAAAAAGAUUUUUUUAUGUAGAUUGUCCCAUGAAGUGUUUGGACAUACUUAAACUAAAAAAUUAUUUGUACAUCUGAAAUUGAAAUUUCCAUUUGCUGUGUAUUUACUGUAUGAUGAUGUUGAAUUUGGCAAACUUGACCCCUGAGACCUCUCAGCCACUGACUGUCAGGCAGGAAUCCCCCCAAUCCCCCCCUCCCCUACACACACUGGCCAAGUCCUGCCCGGGGUGAACCUGGGGAGGAGGCAGGGUCCCAGGACCCCACAGCUGAGCCUGCUGCCAAGCACCUCCUGCAGGGCCCGCCCCUCCCCAGGGGCUGUGGGGAGGGGUCCACCGAGCAGCCCCCUCCCCUUCCCAGCAGCCCUGAGAGGCAGUCACUGAGCCUCCUGGACCAGAAGGGGGCCCAGGCCAGGCAAGGGCGGUGCUGGUCUGAACCACGUGGCCAAGCUGCCCCGGAGCCUUAGGACAGGGCUGGCAUGCGGCCCUGGCAGUGCCGGCCAGGAGGGCACUUACUGAGUGCCUGCUGUAUGCCAGACACCAGAGGCCCUCUGAUACCCGGUCGGCUGAGCUGCCCCUUCAGGGACCCGACGCUUGCCCUUGGAUGGGGGGACCGGAGGACUUGGGGGCCAUAGCUGCCCGUGUCCACCCCCAUGUGAGGGCAGGGCUGGGUCACCCCCGGCCAUCUGGCUGCACAGCCCAAGCACUCCCUGCUCUGGUCUCCUGCCCACAGGGGGUGCCUGUGGCAUCACGAUGCUGCCUCUCAGCACCAUCCGGAGCCAGGAACCGGAGGAGGUGAGGACCAAGCCGCCGGAGAGAAGAGCGCUGCCUUCUGAGAAACCUAAGGUUCGUCGUCGCCCAAGGAAGUCCUCCAGGAAGAAGGCGAGAAUGUCAGCCAGACGGGUGCCGGUUUGUCCCCUGGUGAGCCUGCUUCUUACCUCCCUUCCACCAGAGGCCCCUGGGCUCUGAAUAGUCAGGCACAGGCACCACCUUCUCUGCCCAGCGUGGAUCCUUUGCGGGCUGGUUGCUCCUUUGUCCGCCCCACGCCCCGGAUGUGGUCCCAUUCUCUGGGGGAUGGUUUCCUCAAGGAUGCUGCCCUCUUUCCUGCCUCCUCUUUCCUAACUCCAGCCUCUGCUCCAAUGUCACCUCCUCCAAGAAGCCUCCACCUGGACACUUCCUAUCCAUCAGGGGCUAAUGCCUGGCCUUGCUGAAUUUCUUCUGCAUUACUAAUGCUACCUGAGAGCGUAUUUUCUAUCUAUUGUCCAUCUUCUGUCUCCCCUACUAGAGUAGUUCUGUGAGUGCAGGACCCUCCUUGGUUGCUCAGUGACAGAUCCCUCCAGCAUAGACCAGAUAUAAGGAGGGGUAGGCAUUGUAUACACGCGGGCUGAAGAAAUGAAGGAAUGAAUUAGAGAGUGGUCCCUGCCGAGGCAGGCAGCUCUGGCUUUGCCCACCCGAGUGCAUUCCUCCUUCUGCUAACACCCUUGUUCUAUCCUGGAAACACCUGCGUCCACGUACUUGGGAUGAAUCUGAUCCCAGCCUCAAACCAGCUCCAGGUGUAACCUGACCAAUCAGAGCAGGCAAUGCCCCCGGCUUCACUGUGAUUGGUUCGGGGCUGAGCAUGUGACUCGGCCUUGGCCAUGAGGCGUCUGAUCCAUCUCUGGGGUUCCCGGCAGGCAGGAGGGGAGACGCGAGGGGCUGUGAAGGGACCAGGGAGGUGGAGGGCAGAGUCCGGGGAGGCGCGGGGUUCGGGUUCUGGGAAGAACGCCUUUCCCAUUAGUGCCUGCCGCAGUGCCAGGAAGGACUCAAAAAAAUCUUCUCAUUAGAAAAGAAGGUAAGAGUCUCUGAUUUUGCAAAAACAGUAGAAAGAUAAACACAUUCACCGAUUGUUAAGCCUUUUCUCUGUCCAGGUUUCCUCUCAUUAUGUAUGUCUGUAUGGACUUAGACAUUUUCUUUCACAAGUGUGGGAGGGUGGUAACCUUCCUGCAUUUAAUCCCAAUACACACGUUCAUCUCCUCACUGCCCUCAUGCCAGAUUUGCGAAUUUGCUACCUAUGGUCUGUUUGCUGUUCAUUUUCCUCCGACACAAGAUCCCCUCUAGGGCCGGGUGUGGUGCUUUGUAAUGUGCCUUUAGUUCUCUUUAAGCUGGAAAAUCUCCUCAGGCUUCCUUUGCCUCUUAUGGCACUGACAAUUUUGAAGUCCAGAGUCACACCUUGCUCCAUAUUCGUGGUUUAUUGUUUUUUUUUUUUAAUUGUUGUUGUUUGUUUUUCUUUUUUUCUUUUUUGCCCUUUCCCCAUUAAUGAGAUUCAGGUAAGCAAUGAUCUCUGGAACACCAGCUUGGUUAUGGCAUGUCUUCCUCAGGACAUCACAUCCCAGUACACAGCAGGCCCAUCUCUCAUCAUCAGGGAUACGAAUUUCGAUCCACUUGGCCAGGAUGCUUGUCCCAUUUCUCCACUGAAUACUUUCUGAUUUGUUAUUUCUACAUGUAACUAAUCAAUGAGAACUCAUGGAGAGAUAUUUGUAGAUGAACCAAGUAAUGUAGAAACACAGAGCAUUCUGAUGGGCCCAUUUCCGCCCUUGUGCCCAUGACUGAACCCAUCAUCCGCUGAGGCGUGGAAACCCCUAAAUCUGUCAGCCUGGGUCACGUGGCCAUGGAGUGUGUGGGGUAGAAGGUCCUUACCUUCUCCCAACCACAAGAACAGAAGCACAGGAUCAGGUAGUGGUUCUCAACCAGAGGUAGUUUACCUCCCAGGGGACACCUCCAACAUCUGGGAUCAUUUCUGCUUGUCACGUCUGAAGAGGUGAUGCUCUGGUACCUUGUGGGCAGAGGCCAGGCAUGGUAUUCAACACCCUGCAAUGCAAGCCCCCUCCCCCCACUGCAAGAAGCAUCUGGUCCCACAUGCUCACUACCGUGGAGUCUGAGGAACCCAGGAAUAGGGGAAGAUUGGUUCUGACGUGGUGAGGGCACUGAGCAGUGACAAAACCCUCCUGUCCACCCUAAGCCUCCAGCUGUGAGUGCCAGGCUAGUGAAGCUAAGGGCACACCUUAGCUUCCUCUGUGCCUCAGUUUGCUCACCUGUGAAAUAGAGCAGUAAGAACACCCUUCCUGGGAAUUACCAUGAGGAUAAAGUGAGCUCACAUUUAUACUUCCUUACAGUGGGGCCUGGAAUAUAAGCAUUUGUCAGGUAAAUGGUGGGAGAUGUCCGUCCCUGGGGAAGGGUCCAUCCUCACUCCUAAUCCUGACUCCCUGACACCCCAUCUCUCCAUUGUCAUGAGUGGGCAUGUUCGUGGGGCUCCCCACCUCCUUGUCCUUGUCUGGAAGAUGGAGAAGUAACGACAGAGGCCACUUCAUGAGAAUUAAAGGGGACCUGCCACGUCAUUCACGCAGAAGACUAAGCACCAGAUAACCGGGAGGUAGAAGGGUCCUCCUAGACACCACGACAGCUCCGUGUCGCUUACCAAGUGCCAGUACCAUGGGAGAGGCUUUAUCUUGGAAGGAAGUAUUUAAUUUUUUAGGAAAGCAGAUGGUUUUAAGAAACUAGCAAAACCAAAGUUGUCACAGCUCCCGGGUUUUCAGCUCUCACUAAGCGGCAAACAUUGUUUCAGCUCCAUUUCUUGGGUCCCCCUGUCCAGUCCUCAUGCUCCCCUCUGCGGGAGCAGUUCCUGAUAUUUCAUGAUACAGGAGUGUACACUGAGGCAGAAGCCAGGUCUCCUGCCCCAGGAUCCCCAGCUGUACGUGGCCCCUUCGGAGGGACUCAGCCCCAGGUGGGCUGACCCUGAUUCCAUAGGCUCAGCCCCCACACCUGGGGAUCGUGGGCUCCGCAGGGGAGUAAGACUCUCUUCCUUUUUCUCUGUUCUCUCCCCUUCCAGCCAAGUGUUUGCUUCACCUUUUACUUGGAAACGGAUGACUCUGACUCUGAACCGAAGUCUUCUCCUGAAACUCCGAAACCUAGCACAAGAUGCGCCUCCCCUCCGAAGGCUGCUGCAGAGUACCAGGAAAUCCAGGCGUGGGAAUGUCCCCUGUGCUGCCUCAGCAUUUUCUGCCUUUCCUAAGUCUCAUGACCCUCCACUUCCCACUGCUCUUGAAUGGGCACCCCCAAACCAUGCAUGCUGGGCUCCUGUGAUGUAAACCCCCAAAUACAGCUGCUUAAAUAAACGGAAGUAGAUGUCU
RNAcentral lists this long non-coding RNA (5780 nucleotides) under Sus scrofa (pig). RNAcentral's name for it is "lncRNA (ENSSSCG00065077407.1)". Lineage: Eukaryota; Metazoa; Chordata; Mammalia; Artiodactyla; Suidae. The record is from RNAcentral.